UAAGGUGCAAAUGAGCUUUGAAAGCGUUAUACGUAAUGAAGACCUUACUAAUUGAUUAGAAGUGAAAUUAAUCCUGCACUAAUUCCUUCAAAUAGUAAAAUCUAUGGAGUCAUUGUCCUCAUCUAUUAUGAGCAGUUACUUUCAUGUCUCACUAUUUCUUGACUUGAUCUUGCUCAAAAGAAAGCCACACUCUCAACAGAGUCCUGAGAGUACCUGGCUUUCUUGGAAACUGCCUUAAACUAUCUCAAUCCUGAAUGCACACCCAUCAUCUAUAACGUAAUCCAAACCAUUGUUUCGAUGUUUAUAUCUUUCCAAAAAGCCUGUCAUAGAAUGGUUUGGAUACAAACAAAGGUCCCGUUAUCUGUGGAUUCGUUAACACAUAUUAUCGCAGCUUCAUUUAAGUUGCAGUUUCUAAAUUUCCUAGCUAUAUCAUCUGUGUAUGUCUUUUCUCCCUGUCUACAUUGAUGAAGGCCGGUAAUUGGAUUCUCCACUGAUUCUGUGUCUGCCAAACACAUGAGUAUAUUUAGUGGAUAGAUGGUGAAAAGUGGCAAGAUCCAUAUUGGAACACUAGUUCUUGAUGCCUUAAUUAUUGGAGUGAAGUUACACUUUUAAAUAUUUGAGAAUUACUGAUCCGUGCAUUAUUUAAUAGAGGACAAUGUUUUGAAACAACGAAUUUAACAAAUAUAAGUUAAAAUAUUUUUUUUUAAUGUGAAAACUGUCUCUGUCAUGACAGUUGAAUGGGGAUGAUAUAGAUCCCUGUGAAUUCAUCCAGUACAGCAUGAUGGGAGUAAUCCCGAAAAUGAGUAUUGAACUAUAAGGGUACAGAGAAAGCAAUGGGUUAUUCUAUCUGUCAGAGUUAGGCAAGAAUUCACAGAAGAAUUCUUUUGAAUCAUAGUUUUAUCAAGAUGGAAGAGGGAAGUGGUUUCAGAAAAAGGAAAAAGACCGAAGCCUGGUUUAUGGCAGGAAGCAAAGGUGGAUGGAAAAUAAGUGACUUGAAAAAUAAAUAGGGAUUUUAUUAUAGUUUGAUUGUAAGAGAAUAUUUAGGAAUUGUGGAAUGUUAUCCGUAAAAUUAGGAAGUGAAGAGAGACUCUUAAAGUGGAGGAGUGACACAAUCCCAUUUACCCAGGGAAAUUCUGAAAACUGUAAUGAUUUGAUUCAGGUUUUAAAUGACAUUUAAAAACGACACAUGCUCCGUCAAAGAGGCAGAUAAAGACUGUUCUGUUUGCAAAUUUAGUGUCAUCAAACUGCUGAUGGGGCCAGGUGUGGUGGCUCAUACCUAUAAUCCUAGCACUUUGGUACGCUGAGGUGGGAGGAUUACUUUGAGUUCAGGAGUUCAAGACCAUCCUGGGCAACAUGGGGAGACACUGUGCCUACAAAAAAAAAAAAAAAA
This 1390-nucleotide long non-coding RNA is filed under the name Macaca fascicularis (crab-eating macaque). Its description in RNAcentral is "lncRNA (ENSMFAG00000055203.1)". The record is from RNAcentral. Lineage: Eukaryota; Metazoa; Chordata; Mammalia; Primates; Cercopithecidae.